This 400-nucleotide ribosomal RNA is filed under the name uncultured eukaryote. Its description in RNAcentral is "SSU rRNA". It matches the Rfam family "Eukaryotic small subunit ribosomal RNA", at positions 587 to 994 of the family's 1831-position model. The record is from RNAcentral.
AGCUCCAAUAGCGUAUAUUAAACUUGUUGCGGUUAAAAAGCUCGUAGUUGGAUUUCUGCUGAGGACGACCGGUCCACCCUCUGGGUGAGCAUCUGGCUCGGCCUUGGCAUCUUCUUGGGGAACGUAGCUGCACUUGAUUGUGCGGCGCGGUACCCAGGACUUUUACUUUGAGGAAAUUAGAGUGUUUCAAGCAGGCACACGCCUUGAAUAUAUUAGCAUGGAAUAAUGCGACAGGACCUCGGUCCAUUUUGUUGGUUUCUUGGGUUGAGGUAAUGAUUAACAGGGAUGGUUGGGGGCAUUCGUAUUUAACUGUCAGAGGUGAAAUUCUUGGAUUUGUUAAAGACGAACUACUGCGAAAGCAUUUGCCAAGGAUGUUUUCAUUGAUCAAGACGAAGUUAGG